ACGGGAGGCAGCAGUGAGGAAUAUUGCACAAUGGGCGAAAGCCUGAUGCAGCGACGCCGCGUGAGCGAAGAAGUAUUUCGGUAUGUAAAGCUCUAUCAGCAGGGAAGAAAAAAAUGACGGUACCUGACUAAGAAGCACCGGCUAAAUACGUGCCAGCAGCCGCGGUAAUACGGAGGAUGCAAGCGUUAUCCGGAUUUAUUGGGUUUAAAGGGUGCGUAGGCUGUGCGACAAGUCAGGGGUGAAAGCCCGCCGCCCAACGGUGGAACUGCCUUUGAUACUGUCGCGCUGGAAUACGGAUGCCGUGGGAGGAAUGAGUAGUGUAGCGGUGAAAUGCAUAGAUAUUACUCAGAACACCGAUUGCGAAGGCAUCUCACGAAUCCGUCAUUGACGCUGAGGCACGAGAGCAUGGGGAUCAAACAGGAUUAGAUACCCUGGUA
RNAcentral lists this ribosomal RNA (437 nucleotides) under uncultured Pseudobutyrivibrio sp. RNAcentral describes it as "partial 16S ribosomal RNA". It matches the Rfam family "Bacterial small subunit ribosomal RNA", at positions 341 to 792 of the family's 1533-position model. Lineage: Bacteria; Bacillati; Bacillota; Clostridia; Lachnospirales; Lachnospiraceae. The record is from RNAcentral.